UUUAUGGAGAGUUUGAUCCUGGCUCAGAGUGAACGCUGGCGGCGUGCCUAAUACAUGCAAGUCGAACGAUGAAGCUUCUAGCUUGCUAGAGUGCUGAUUAGUGGCGCACGGGUGAGUAACGCAUAGGUCAUGUGCCUCUUAGUUUGGGAUAGCCAUUGGAAACGAUGAUUAAUACCAGAUACUCCCUACGGGGGAAAGAUUUAUCGCUAAGAGAUCAGCCUAUGUCCUAUCAGCUUGUUGGUAAGGUAAUGGCUUACCAAGGCUAUGACGGGUAUCCGGCCUGAGAGGGUGAACGGACACACUGGAACUGAGACACGGUCCAGACUCCUACGGGAGGCAGCAGUAGGGAAUAUUGCUCAAUGGGGGAAACCCUGAAGCAGCAACGCCGCGUGGAGGAUGAAGGUUUUAGGAUUGUAAACUCCUUUUGUUAGAGAAGAUAAUGACGGUAUCUAACGAAUAAGCACCGGCUAACUCCGUGCCAGCAGCCGCGGUAAUACGGAGGGUGCAAGCGUUACUCGGAAUCACUGGGCGUAAAGAGCGCGUAGGCGGGAUAGUCAGUCAGGUGUGAAAUCCUAUGGCUUAACCAUAGAACUGCAUUUGAAACUACUAUUCUAGAGUGUGGGAGAGGUAGGUGGAAUUCUUGGUGUAGGGGUAAAAUCCGUAGAGAUCAAGAGGAAUACUCAUUGCGAAGGCGACCUGCUGGAACAUUACUGACGCUGAUUGCGCGAAAGCGUGGGGAGCAAACAGGAUUAGAUACCCUGGUAGUCCACGCCCUAAACGAUGGAUGCUAGUUGUUGGAGGGCUUAGUCUCUCCAGUAAUGCAGCUAACGCAUUAAGCAUCCCGCCUGGGGAGUACGGUCGCAAGAUUAAAACUCAAAGGAAUAGACGGGGACCCGCACAAGCGGUGGAGCAUGUGGUUUAAUUCGAAGAUACACGAAGAACCUUACCUAGGCUUGACAUUGAGAGAAUCCGCUAGAAAUAGUGGAGUGUCUAGCUUGCUAGACCUUGAAAACAGGUGCUGCACGGCUGUCGUCAGCUCGUGUCGUGAGAUGUUGGGUUAAGUCCCGCAACGAGCGCAACCCCCUUUCUUAGUUGCUAACAGGUCAUGCUGAGAACUCUAAGGAUACUGCCUCCGUAAGGAGGAGGAAGGUGGGGACGACGUCAAGUCAUCAUGGCCCUUACGCCUAGGGCUACACACGUGCUACAAUGGGGUGCACAAAGAGAAGCAAUACUGCGAAGUGGAGCCAAUCUUCAAAACGCCUCUCAGUUCGGAUUGUAGGCUGCAACUCGCCUGCAUGAAGCUGGAAUCGCUAGUAAUCGCAAAUCAGCCAUGUUGCGGUGAAUACGUUCCCGGGUCUUGUACUCACCGCCCGUCACACCAUGGGAGUUGUGUUUGCCUUAAGUCAGGAUGCUAAACUAGCUACUGCCCACGGCACACACAGCGACUGGGGUGAAGUCGUAACAAGGUAACCGUAGGUGAACCUGCGGUUGGAUCACCUCCUUU
This 1504-nucleotide ribosomal RNA is filed under the name Helicobacter pylori. RNAcentral describes it as "bacterial SSU rRNA". It matches the Rfam family "Bacterial small subunit ribosomal RNA". Lineage: Bacteria; Pseudomonadati; Campylobacterota; Epsilonproteobacteria; Campylobacterales; Helicobacteraceae. The record is from RNAcentral.